Molecule: ribosomal RNA, 951 nt
Filed under: Trichophyton rubrum
Lineage: Eukaryota; Fungi; Ascomycota; Eurotiomycetes; Onygenales; Arthrodermataceae
Description: eukaryotic LSU rRNA
Rfam family: Eukaryotic large subunit ribosomal RNA
Source: RNAcentral
GAAACCAACAGGGAUUGCCCCAGUAACGGCGAGUGAAGCGGCAAGAGCUCAAAUUUGAAAUCUGGCCUCCCCCGGGGGUCCGAGUUGUAAUUUGCAGAGGAUGCUUCGGGCGCGGCCCCCGUCUAAGUUCCUUGGAACAGGACGUCAGAGAGGGUGAGAAUCCCGUCUUGGGCGGGCGGCCCGCGCCCGUGUGAAGCUCCUUCGACGAGUCGAGUUGUUUGGGAAUGCAGCUCUAAGCGGGUGGUAAAUUUCAUCUAAAGCUAAAUACCGGCCGGAGACCGAUAGCGCACAAGUAGAGUGAUCGAAAGGUUAAAAGCACCUUGAAAAGGGAGUUAAACAGCACGUGAAAUUGUUGAAAGGGAAGCGCUUGCGGCCAGACUCGGGGGGCGGGGUUCAGCGGGCGCUCGUCGCCCGUGCACUGCCCGCUCCCCGGGCCAGCAUCAGUUUCGACGGCCGGUCAAAGGCCCCCGGAAUGUGUCGUCUCUAGGGACGUCUUAUAGCCGGGGGUGCAAUGCGGCCCGUCGAGACUGAGGAACGCGCUCCGGCUCGGAUGCUGGCGUAAUGGCCGUAAGCGGCCCGUCUUGAAACACGGACCAAGGAGUCUAACAUCCACGCGAGUGUUCGGGUGUCAAACCCGUGCGCGCAGUGAAAGCGAACGGAGGUGGGAGCCCCCCCCCAGGGCGCACCAUCGACCGAUCCUGAAGUCUUCGGAUGGAUUUGAGUAGGAGCGUGGCCGUUGGGACCCGAAAGAUGGUGAACUAUGCCUGAAUAGGGUGAAGCCAGAGGAAACUCUGGUGGAGGCUCGCAGCGGUUCUGACGUGCAAAUCGAUCGUCAAAUUUGGGCAUAGGGGCGAAAGACUAAUCGAACCAUCUAGUAGCUGGUUCCUGCCGAAGUUUCCCUCAGGAUAGCAGUGACGAGAUUCCAGUUUUAUGAGGUAAAGCGAAUGAUUA